This 2781-nucleotide long non-coding RNA is filed under the name Eutrema salsugineum. RNAcentral describes it as "long non-coding RNA (ESAL_LNC001850)". Lineage: Eukaryota; Viridiplantae; Streptophyta; Magnoliopsida; Brassicales; Brassicaceae. The record is from RNAcentral.
UUUCUCGUUUUUACUCAUUUUCGUUAAGUUUAGUUAUUAGGCCAUUUAAUUCCCGUAGUUUCUUUUUAGAUUUCGUUUUUACAUUUUAAACAAACUACCAAAACCCCCACAAAAACCGUUUGGUUCUAGACUUUCUUACUUUAUAGUUCUUUCAAAUUGCAGGAAAAGAUCCUCCUUCCCUGGGCAUUCGAUCCCUAAGUACUACAAUCGAUCAGCUGUGCACUUGCGGCUAUUGAUUUCAUUUAGGGUAAAACUUGACAACCCUCACCACACCGACACAUCAGGAAGCUAAUUGGAAGUGCUUUGACAUUAAUUAGAGUAAACCGGAUAAGUCUAAAUCGCCCACUAUGAGUCUAGAGUCUAUAGUUUGAGUUAAAAACCCUUGAGAUCAUUGCAUCUAGUUUCCCGUAAAUAUUAGAUUAGGUUUAGUUUAGGAUCCGUAACCAAAAACCCCAAACCCCCAUGAGUUUUUAAUUUAGCUUACUCUCCCAGGUUGGUGUUUCCUUGCAGAUUAGACAUCUUCCCUAUGGAUCGACACCUUAAGUCCUACAACGUACAUUUGUGCACUUUCCGACAUUAGGGCUUUAUAAAUUUAAAACUCCGGACCAACCGGCUUGUAAACUCCGUAUCAAAAUUUUUGGCGCUGUUGCCGGAGAAGAUUUUAGUCGCUGGAGGUCUAAACCGAGAAGGUUAAAGCUGCAGAAGACUAUAUAUAUGUCGAGUUUCAGCGAAAACACCAGAGGAAGUAAACCAAACUCAUAAAUACCCUAAUUUAUUAUUUUUCUGCUUUUUCUUUCUUCUGCUUGCCCUAGUUUCAGAAUCCUUGAAGCAUGGAUCAACCAAAAAGAAGCUGUAAUCCCGAGCGAAGGUUCUACAACCUGUGUGAAACUCCCUGCGCAUGUGAAUCACCAUUCAGGCGUGAUUCCGACCACCUGGAUCGGAUCCCUCAUCUGAACCAUCACCUUGAAGGCUCGCGAACUCCAACCCACCAAGAUGAACUCUAUUUGCCACACCUGGUGAACCGACGACCAUCUUAUCCCCUACCUCAUCAUAUUCUGAACCAGAACUAUGAGAAUAAUCGACUUAACAUCCUGCUUAAUCGAUUGGAAGCCAAGCUGAAUCAGUUCCUUGCUUCCAAAGCCUUCGUUGAAGCUGCCCUGCGAACAAGGAUAGAUGCCAUCACCAUCGACCUUAACAGGAGGUUUGAUGACCUCUCUGAGCACGUGGUUACACUAGAGGAUCAGAGAACCAAAGACAAUGAAGUGUUGAAUCAGAGAAUAGAGUCUGACGAAGAAGAGCAAGGGAAAAACAAGUUCAACAUUCGAAAAAGUGAAAGGGAGCUGCAAACCCUAAAUUUCAAGAUCGAUGACUUGGACAAGGAGCUGAAUGAAAGCAAGAACCAAACCUACGACUACACAUUGGAGCUGUGGCAAGGCGUAGCUAAGGUUGAAAACAAGACAGAAGAUCUUGAUGCUACUUUAGAUAAAGUUGUCUAUGCUUUAGAUGAUGUAGAAGAGAAAGUGGAAAAUUUUUCUAAAGAUUAUAAGGAGAAUGAUCUGAACACUGGAUACAUUGAUUUGUAUACCCAAGACAUGCCUGGCAACCACUAGAAGCAAGAGAACAACAAUGGAGAAGAAGAGAUUGAAGAAGCAAGUAUGGUGAGUUAGAAGGAGCUGACCGCGGAUGCGAGCACUUCACCCACGGCCAAGGCCACUUCCACCGCAGCCCAUAUCACUUCACCCACGGUGGAUCCUGACUUUUCAGACUUGGAGACCUUUCAACUUCUCCCUGAAACCUGUUCAACUGAAGACCAACCCUUUGGAACCAGAUCUAGGUUGUUUGAUUAAGCUGUCUUUUCAAUCACUGCACAAACAUAAAAAAAACAAAAGCCCAAAAAGCAAGUUCGGGACAAUUAUAGCCCAACAGAAGGCCCACUUAUUACUCGUGAAACUAAAAGAUAAGCAAAAAAACACAAAACGGGUGAAGGGUAAAGAUGAACAUCAACCCAUGUGACGACCUUAGAAGAAACCAGAAGCUUUUCAGCUCAUGCAUAUCGCUGACGAGAAAAUCUCACCGGAAUCAUUCACUGUGUAAAGCUUCUUACUCGCCGAUCAGUUUACCAAAUCAAUCUUCUACUAAUAGCCAUCAGAAUGAUUAAGCCGCAAUAAGAUAAAUUCAUCCUCUAAACUUUUCCUAGCUUUCCAUCUUGAAGGAAGCUCCAUCACCAACCGAACCCAAUUUAUUGAUCCGAUUUGUAUCCGUUAGUGUUCCAUGACGUGAGCAAGAGGAAGAAACGAUGAAGAUAUUACUCCUAGAUAGAAAAGAAACCUGUAGAAAAACUUAAAAGAAGCAUCAGCAAUUCUGACGGGAAAUAAGUAAGAUCGUAAGAGAAAUCAAGAAAACCGGACUUCACUAGAAACUAUCCGAACACUGUUGGAAAAUUAUUAUCCGAACAACCGGAAAGACAUAUGAUCUAAAUCAGAAUAUAUUACAUAUAUAACAAAAAGAAAUUGGAUAAAUCCGGUGAAGAUUCCGAUCCCAAACUAAGAUUGGAAAUUACCUCUCUCUCUCUCAAAGAAAAGAGUGAGAGAAGAGAGAGAAAGACUGUUCAAUCAGUAGAAAGUUAAGUUGGCAAGAGUAUAUAUAAUCAUUAUUCAUUUUCUAACAGUAUUACAAUUAUCAAUGUAGGGAUUAGUCACUGGUUCACUACAAGGACUCUGAUUACUGUCAGAAUUAAAAAGGCUUGCUGCCUUUCACCAGCUCAUGUUUCUAGAUGGUCUC